Anopheles moucheti is the source of this 6366-nucleotide RNA transcript. RefSeq lists it as uncharacterized. Lineage: Eukaryota; Metazoa; Arthropoda; Insecta; Diptera; Culicidae. The transcript is spliced from 11 exons. The record is from RefSeq and is a predicted model, not a curated record.
UGUGCAGAUUCGUCAUAAAGGUUAGCAGUGUCAGCAGCGGACGGUCAUAAUUAAAUGGAAAAAACGGUUCUGGCGUCGUCCUACGAUGGCAAGCCCCACAUCUGUACCGUAGUUGCAGAUUGUUCACGAAGCGUACUCUUGGUUAUCCCGAGCUCGCAGUAAUAAUUGCAUAGAACAUCGCAGCCGUGGAAAGGCGCAAGGAAAGGAAAUUUCGCAGAGUAGGAGGUACGGAGUGUACACGGCCCACGUUCAGCCAUUUCGGUGCCAUCCUGCAUUGCUAUAAAAGCGUGUUGCUUGUGUGGGGGAAAAAGAGGAGCGGAGAAAGCAACACUUUUUGUUGCGAUUGUUACAAUAACAUCAUACUAGAUUUUCUUGUAACGGCACAUCCACACUGCCGGGCAUGUCGUCCGGAAGUGGCAAAAAGAAAGUAGUUGCAGCUGCCGCACCAUCGCUGUCAGUCUCAAUAACUCCUAAUUCAGUGGAAUCGCAAGCACCGCCUGCAGGUAUAAAGCUGGUGAUUGAUAAGAACAGAAUUCUUAACGUUUCUUCGUCUAAAACACAACCUGCAGUGCUUCGGCAGCUAGUGUCCCAUGUGCAAAGCGCGUCCCUAAACGCAUCCAAUGAAGUCCUUUUGCCAAACGGUGGUUCCCAUGCUGGCACGUUAAUCUCAGCAACACCUGCUGCACCCGUAGUUAAACAGGUUAGAUCAUUAACUGCUACAGGUGGCGUUGAAAGGGGAGAGAUGCGUGUGAAAGUUACAGGAGAAGAUCGCAACGGUCAAUCUAUGGCGACCGGAGGACAGUUGGUACAUGUAAAGCAUUAUAGCAAUAUGUUGGGACGACGGCCCUCGACACAUCGUCGGGUGACAGUUCCUAAAGAGGCGGAAAAAACGGUCGAUAACGGUGGACAACAAGCUGUUUUACCGUAUCCGACGAUGAAAUCGGUUGAAGGAACUACCUUUAGGUCUCUAGUACCAUCCAACACCCAACCAGAGAAAACUCAGUCAACAACAGCUAUAAUACCCAUUAGAUGCCCAACAACAACCAGCUGUGUCAAUCUUGUAUUGGACAGUAAUUCACAAACUCCGACAGGUUGUAAUUACAGAGCAGGUAUUACAGAUGUAUAUUCCGUUCCGAACAUGCAUCUCAAUCCCGUACAAACUAUAGUUUCAUACAAAGAUGUUACGAAAAAGUUGGUUAUGGGGAAUGAAAUUAACAGUGCUGGCUUCAAAAAGAACAAUUCAACUAGUACAUUCAUAUCUUCUGGCCAAACACUGAUCAAACCAGUUAAUGAGCAAAAUCACAACGUUGUUGUUACAACUUCCGGUGAAAAUACAUCUCGAAAUAGUAACCUUAACGCUAUUAUCACAGACACUCGCGCGAAUAAUGUUCAAACAAAGCUGAACAUGUCAAAACCGGUAUCGAAUGAUACUACCGAUAUGAACAUGGCAACAAGCAUCAGUAAAGCGCUGGGCGAAGAAGUGUCAAGUAAUAAACCAUCUCGGGAAAUAAAAUCGCUUCGGUCAUCGCAAUCAUCGUCGAAAAUUUUAACUGAAUUCAUCGCAGAUGCCUCCAGUAUAGGUAAAUUACGGAAGCGUCAAUCAGAUAGCUCUGCUGAUACAGAGUCCUUACAUAUGGAUUCAUCCUUCUCUGGAACAACAACGCAAUCAGCAACUCGUAAACGGCCUCGACGAAAGUCAACGAUUCAUUCGACUAGUUCGGACGUAAACAGCAAAGAGUUGGCGACUGACUCAUGCUACGGGUUGGAAGAUGAGGAUCUCACGUCACCAGUGGCCAAAGGUAGAAAAGGACGCACAUCGACGAAAAUAGAACCUUCGCUGCAAAAAUCCACGAAUGAACGGAAUGAUAGUUCCAGCGGUUCCAGGGAUUUCUUUUCAUUCUUGAACCUGGGUUCGAAUGAACAAAAUAAUAUCUGUGAACAAUCGUUCCCAGCGAAUCCACCAAAGCCUGGAUGGGAUCGUUUCUGUUGGCGUUGCAAGAAGCGUAACCCGAAUUUGGGAUGCAGCAAGUGCAUUAGAAGUUAUCAUAAACUUUGCGUACGCUAUUCAGUGGACGAUCCGAACUGGAACUGUACGGAAUGUAAAAUGGCACCCAAUGUACGCGCGGAUGUCGAAUCCAUGACUAAAUGUCUGGGAUAUGUACUAGAUAUAAUAAUGCUUCAAACGGAAGGGAAUGAAUUUUUCAAUCCUAUUGAUAAAUCGGUUUUGCCACACUACGACGAUUACAUCACCCGUCAUAUGGAUCUAGCUGUACUAAAAGAUAAUCUGGUCAAGAAAAAAUAUAAGGCUCCGGAAGAGUUUUUGGCAGAUAUGAGUUGGAUAGUGCAUAACAUGUCCAUAUAUCCUGAUAAAGUUAUGCUAUUGAAACAAGCACGGGCGAUGCAGAAAAAAGCCAAAAAUGAAAUAGACGAAAUGGAACCUUGUUACGAGUGCUACAUAUAUGCUAAUACACGGUCCGAACAGUGGUUUACAGAACCGUGUUCGAAACCUCAUCUGUUAGUGUGGGCCAAGUUAAGAGGAUUUCCCUACUGGCCGGGAAAAUUGUACAUGCUCAACACCAAUAAUCAAGCAUACGUGCGAUUCUUUGCAACACACGAUCGAUCCUGGAUGUCAGUAAAAGAUUGCUUUCUUUAUUGCAAGCAAGAUCCUAACCCUUCCAAAAAUUGGAAGAAUAAAAUAACGGUAUCUCUGGCACAAAGUGUGACAGACAUAGAGCAGCAUAUUACCCGAUUGCAAGAACAGUUCCGCACGUUCAACUAUGCGCCAUUCAUGGAAUUGGUCGACCCGUCGCGAUUCGAGGAACAACAACGUGCAAUGCUUCCGGUUGCUUACCAUAAGAAUGUGAAGGUUACGAUUAAAAAAAACAAAGGUGAGAUGGUGGCCGUUGCUUCUUCUAACGACGAUGCACAGACUCUUCCAGCUACUAAGGCCAGACUGGAGAUGAAAGCAAAUGCUGCUCUCGCUAACAAAGAACCUAUCAAGAAACAAACGAUAAUCAGUCCCCCUCGUAAGCCAACGACACGACGCAUGUCGAGGUUAAUGAGAAGUGCUGACGAAGUAGGUGAACAACCGGUAGUAAAUGCAGGAUGCCAGGAAAGCACAAAUGUGCUGACCGCAUCCGCGGUGGCGAACGCUGACAAAUCGUUCGAAUGUAACCAAUUGUCGGACAAAACGAUUGAAGAUACAGCAGUAAAAAACUCUAAUGUUGCUGAUUGUGUUCUGAAAACUCUGUCCCUGCGUCUGCGACGUGGUUCGCAGUCUGCGACGUGGGAAACAGAACCGUUGCUUAAACGUCGGAAGUCUGCAGCCUUGCUCGCGAACGCUGCCGGCGAAACAAAUUCCCUCGCAUCGUGUGCCGAUGCGCAAGAGAGGACGGGAACAAAGGCGAACAAGGAAGUUGCCGAAUCAAAUGUGGAAAAGGAACCGAACACCUCGAAUGCAGCUACCGACACUACAUGUAAUCAGCAUGCAGCGAAUUUAGCUUCGGAUACGUUGGAAAGUGCAGUCAAUGGUAUUGCUGCCGUUAGCCAGCCUGUAGUAUGUAUCUCAAAUACUGAUGUAAACCCAUCUUCAUCAGUAACUGAGAUCGAUAUCAAGCAAGAAAUUAUUGUUGACGAUGAAGUGAAUACUGUAAUCCAGACAAAAGAUGUUCGGCCAUUGUCCAUCGCUAAGGAACAAGUACAGAAAGAAAAUGCCACUACGUUGGACGCAGUGAAGAAUCAGAUCAUACCUGCUGUUAGUUUGGAAAAGGUGGUAAAAUCUGUGCAACAAACAAAACCUGAAGUGUUAGUGAUUAGUGCGGUAGGUGGUAAAGCUGACGAUACAAAUACUGCUGCUGUUACGAUAGUGCCUAGCAAUCAGCGGGCUAGGAAAUCUUUUCCUGGAGGUGCUGGUGGUAGUACUGCAAAGAAUGUGACAUCUAAACAAGCGUCAUUUCUGGCCCCAAAUGAGUUGCUUCCGGACACAUUACACAACAGCAAGAAGGCAUUGGUUUCCAUACCAAAAGAACUCGUCACUCCUUCUGCGGUUAUUCCCACUACAGACAAUCGCAAAAAUGAUCACAAUGAUGUUGGUGCAGCCUCCGCAUCUAAGGAUAGCGAUGACGUAAUUAUUGUAGAAGAUAUGAAUGAUACAAUUGCUACAACGCCGCCGCUCGUUCCAUGCACCGUACCGGAAAUCGAAAAGACCAACCAGCCGCUUCCUCCACUUGUUCCGAAGCCUUUGGAAACGAUCCCGCCUCCUACCGGUGGUACCAUCGAAUUGAAUAACACUAUGCAGUUGUUUGAUGACAGCGCGAAUAAGAUGUUGGACUUUUUCCGGAUGGUGAUGGAAGAUCUGUUGAAAGACAUGGCUGGCAAAGGAUCGUCGUUGGUUGAGGUGGCAACGCUCAAAUUAAAUCUAGAGCGUCAAAAUGAGUUAUGGAUGCAGGAGAAGCAAACAUUGAUACAAGAGUCUGAACGUAAGAUGGCGAAUUUGCGCAUCUCGCUUGAACAGGAGAAGGAACGUGCCCUCAAGAAACAGCGUCAGCUGCUUUUUGGAGAGAAGGAGCGUGCAGUGCAAGAUACGAAGAAGAAGCCAUGGUGCGCCAAGUGUUACAAGGAGGCAGGAUUUUUAUGCUGUUGGAACACUUUGUAUUGUAGCCAGGAGUGUCAAAAGGAACACUAUGUUGAACAUCGCGAAAAACACAUCCAGAAUACCGUGGAACAAAAAGACACCGUCCAAGAAAUCCAACCUACACUACAGCCCAAUUUGCCGGAUUCGAAUUUGUUGGUUACACGAAAACCUGAAAACAACGUUUCCAUGCGUAACCGGUCUUCUACGAACAUCUCAAAUCUACCUAUAGUUGGUAGCGGAAGCUCUAAUAAUUUAAACAAAAGAUCCCCGAACAAUAGAGUUGCCCAACACCAACUCAUUUCAACAAGCGCUACAUUAAAUACCUCACCAGUUCGCUUUACUUCCGGCACAAUGGGUACUAACGUAGGUUUGAAGACGCCGAUAAUACACUCUGUGCACGGGCGGGACAGCAUGGUAAUAAAAAUGGCACAACAAUCGGCACAGAAUGGAAGUAAUACAACGUCCACGCCUAACAUGCCACAACAACCACAGAAAAAGAUUACUCCACGUGACAAAGCGAUCCAGUCGAAUCAUCAGAAGACGGUUAGUUCUAACAGGGUAAAUUUAACGAAAAAACCAUACGUUAUUGCAUCGUCGUCGUAUCAUAAUACCAACAUGCUAUCACCAACAUUAACCAAUGCCCCAAUAGUAACGCCUUCAUCAUAUGUCACACAUAGGGAGUAUGAGGAAGUAGCCAGUAGCAGCCGAGCGCCAUCUAGUGUCUGGAAUCAGUUUACUGUGAUGCAAUCGGUCGCUAAUCGUAAGCCGCAUUCGGGCACAACAUUCGGCACAGCCGGCGGUAGUGAUGGAACAGAAAAAUUGGGCAAUAGGCUAAAUCAGCCAAUUGUUGCCCCAGAUGUGCAGCAAUCAACAGCUACAUACAUGCGACACCAACAAUGAUUGUCCAAUCGCGAUAGACGAUAGCUAGUAGAUAAUGCAUUUAGCGACUUCCGAAGGUGGACUGAAUGUAACAACUAUAAAUAAAUGUAUACAUAUCUCUUCAGAAGAGAUGAGUACAGCUGUUUAACGAGUGCACGCUUGUGCGUACGCGCAGAUAAACUAUAUGCCAUAUGGCAUUAGUAGACGAUUUUACACAGUUACCCCUCAUGAUCUGCAUUGGUAUACAUUUCCCCUCAGUGUGGGUGCUUUCUGGCAAACCUUUGGGGAUUAUUGUCUAGAACGUCUGACUAUGCUGGCAACAAGCUCAGCUACCAAAAACGCUGUGUAAAUGCCACCAAGCACCAGAAAGUAGCUACUGAAUACAGUAAACUGGCCGAAUACAUCCAGCGCAAACCAACCGUCCGAAUCAGUCACCGAAAAUGUGAGCAGCGUUUGCAGAGAUAAAGCUACCAGCGUGUUGAAACCAAACACUAGCCCAAAGCAAUCGUCCGAAAUGUUUUUGGCAAUUUCCGCACUUACAACGGUAAUGGCAAACGCAUACAGCACACAGAAAAUCAUGUAACCGAUGUAGGAAACGAUCAGGUUGCCCGUGUUAGUGGCUAGCAGCAUUGCACCGCCAGCAGCAAACGAAAGCAACGCGAGUGCAAGCAGGCUGGUGCAAGGUUUCAGGAAACCGCUGUGUAAAUAUCCAGCCAGCAGUGAUACGAUGGCACCGAGCAGCGUUACGGCAGCUUCUACCGCACCGUUCCAUACGGCGGGCUGCGUUUCGUCAAUGGAGCUCCACAGCGCUUGCACGUAGGCUAGAAUUUGUAUGUAGCCAGCCAUUGCCAAUG